GAUUUUGAAGAAAAUCACCAUAUCAAUAUGACAAGAAGAGCACUGAGACAUCUUGGAAACAACUGGAUGGCUGCUGACUGACAUCAGAUAACACAUGAAUUAGCAAAUGUAAACCUUGAUAAGAUUGUGUGUGGGAACGUAAGAAAAAACUGCAUGGAGCAGCAGCUGCGGAGCAAGAUAAGUGGCAUGAGAACCAAGGACACCUUCAGAAGAACGAACAUCUCACGGCUCUGAUUGGCUAAGCACCUGUGUGAACGGUUCAAGAGUGUUUUGCAGAAUGCUCUGUUAAUAUGUAUAAAUAGAGUAGUGCUUAACAAUAAAGCAGACUAAUAGCCUUUAACCACAUUGGUGUGCUGUUAUGUCUCUAGCGCGUCCUGAGAGUCCAGAGACUUCCCCACAUUUGGUGCCCGAACAGGGACACUUCGUGGGACGAUUCGGGGAAGUGGACAACGGCAGGACGGUCGCGACAGAGGUUGGCACCAUGUUGCGGUAGCUGGAUUAGGCACCGAUGUAGUUGCAAUGUACUGGAUACUCCAGGUGAUUGUUCUUUCAAGCUUCUUAGGAGUCUCAAUACCACUAUACCCUGGGACUCACAGGAGUUAAAUCUUCUUGGAACUCAAAAGAUCAGUAACACAUCUAAGGGAUGGAAGAAAACAUGUUUUAUGUUUGGAAAUACCAGGAAAUGUUUUUGGGGGUCCAUGUUACAUUGGUAAAUUCACUGUAUUUUCUCUCACUUUCCAGGACAUGCGUGACAUCCACUCUAAACUUAGCGCACGGGUAGCAUUAGCUGUCCUUAUACCGGGGGCUAUUGCUGGGAAUAGGUAUUACAACUAUUAGUAUAGUUAUCUGUGUUGUAAAAUGCUUACUUAACAAACUGUCCACUACUGUCUUGCUUGCGCAAAAGGAAAAAGGGGGAAUGGUUGUGCGUACUCCCAUUGCAGUUCACGGAACCCACAAAAAGAAUGGUGUCAGGAUGUGAAACGAUGAAAAAGACUGAAACCAGGCUUGAAACGACCAUGAACUCAUAGUGAUUGGGAUUGUGUGCUUCUUAUUAUUUUGUUUUGCUUUUAACUUGUUGUAUUGCAAGUAGCAGAGUAGUAACCGUUGUUGUGUGUUUUUUAUUUAUUUUUAUUUUUUUUAGCAAUAGAUUGAAUGUGAAUUAACAGGAUUUAAUGUUACUAAUGCUGAAAUCUAUGGAGAUAGCUACUUUAAUGUAUUAGUAGCGCUAAGACAAAACCUGGAAAGAAAUCCCAAGCAAAGGGAUGACCCUAUAUUAUAGAAUGAUUAACUCUCUUUCAUCCCACUUUUCAGGAAUUUAAAAUAUGAUUAUGCAGUACCUGAGACAAAUGCACACACUAAGAGAGUUAACCUUG
RNAcentral lists this long non-coding RNA (1373 nucleotides) under Phasianus colchicus (ring-necked pheasant). RNAcentral describes it as "lncRNA (ENSPCLG00000002067.1)". Lineage: Eukaryota; Metazoa; Chordata; Aves; Galliformes; Phasianidae. The record is from RNAcentral.